RNAcentral lists this ribosomal RNA (490 nucleotides) under uncultured bacterium. Its description in RNAcentral is "partial 16S ribosomal RNA". It matches the Rfam family "Bacterial small subunit ribosomal RNA", at positions 29 to 506 of the family's 1533-position model. The record is from RNAcentral.
AGUGAACGCUGGCGGUAGGCCUAACACAUGCAAGUCGAACGGCAGCACAGUAAGAGCUUGCUCUUACGGGUGGCGAGUGGCGGACGGGUGAGGAAUACAUCGGAAUCUACUUUUUCGUGGGGAUAACGUAGGGAAACUUACGCUAAUACCGCAUACGACCUACGGGUGAAAACAGGGGAUCUUCGGACCUUGCGCGAUUGAAUGAGCCGAUGUCGGAUUAGCUAGUUGGCGGGGUAAAGGCCCACCAAGGCGACGAUCCGUAGCUGGUCUGAGAGGAUGAUCAGCCACACUGGAACUGAGACACGGUCCAGACUCCUACGGGAGGCAGCAGUGGGGAAUAUUGGACAAUGGGCGCAAGCCUGAUCCAGCCAUACCGCGUGGGUGAAGAAGGCCUUCGGGUUGUAAAGCCCUUUUGUUGGGAAAGAAAAGCAGCAGGUUAAUACCCCGCUGUUCUGACGGUACCCAAAGAAUAAGCACCGGCUAACUUCGU